This 780-nucleotide ribosomal RNA is filed under the name uncultured Neocallimastigales. RNAcentral describes it as "partial large subunit ribosomal RNA". It matches the Rfam family "Eukaryotic large subunit ribosomal RNA", at positions 26 to 628 of the family's 3401-position model. Lineage: Eukaryota; Fungi; Neocallimastigomycota; Neocallimastigomycetes; Neocallimastigales. The record is from RNAcentral.
CGUCUAUAUACGUAUAGCAUAUCAAUAAGCGGAGGAAAAGAAACUAACUAGGACUUCCCUCAGUAACGGCGAGUGAAGCGGGAAGAGCUCAAAUUUGAAAUCUUCAAGGUUCUACCUUGACGAAUUGUAGUUUAAAGAAGUGUUUUCUGUUGGAGUUUUGGUAAAAGUUCUUUGGAAUAGGACAUCAUAGAGGGUGAGAAUCCCGUAUUUGACCAUUAUUUCCAACUUUGUGAUACACUUUCAAAGAGUCGGAUUGUUUGGGAAUGCAGUCCAAAAUGGGUGGUAAAUUUCAUCUAAAGCUAAAUACUGGCGAGAGACCGAUAGCGAACAAGUACCGUGAGGGAAAGAUGAAAAGAACUUUGAAAAGAGAGUUAAACAGUACGUGAAAUUGUCAAAAGGGAAGCGUUUGACACCAGUGUUGUUUUCUCGAAAAUCAAUUAAAAAUGGUGGGAUUUUGUGUUGUAUUGACUUUAUCAGCUUUCUGCACUUUUUUCUUGUCUUUUUUAAUGCACUUUUCGUUUAACAAGUCAACAUCAAUUUCUUUUGUUGUAAAAGAGUCAUUGGAAGGUGGCUUUCACUUUCGGUAGAAAGUGUUUAUAGCCUUUGACUUCUGCAAUCGGAGAGAUUGAGGUCUGCAGCGUAGAUCCUUCGGGGUUAGAUAGCAUUUGUGCUAAGUUAUAGCCUUUUCAUAGACAACAUGUUGACUAUGAUUAAGUCAUGUAGCUUACUCGCUUAUGCUAUUUUACCUACGCUUAGGAUGUUGACGAUCAGCUGAGCGCG